AGAGUUUGAUCCUGGCUCAGAACGAACGCUGGCGGCAGGCCUAACACAUGCAAGUCGAGCGCGCCUUCGGGUGAGCGGCGGACGGGUUAGUAACGCGUGGGAACGUGCCCUUCUCUACGGAAUAGCCUCUGGAAACGGAGAGUAAUACCGUAUACGCCCUUUGGGGGAAAGAUUUAUCGGAGAAGGAUCGGCCCGCGUUAGAUUAGGUAGUUGGUGGGGUAACGGCCUACCAAGCCUACGAUCUAUAGCUGGUUUUAGAGGAUGAUCAGCAACACUGGGACUGAGACACGGCCCAGACUCCUACGGGAGGCAGCAGUGGGGAAUCUUAGACAAUGGGGGCAACCCUGAUCUAGCCAUGCCGCGUGAGUGAUGAAGGCCUUAGGGUCGUAAAGCUCUUUCGCCUGUGAUGAUAAUGACAGUAGCAGGUAAAGAAACCCCGGCUAACUCCGUGCCAGCAGCCGCGGUAAUACGGAGGGGGUUAGCGUUGUUCGGAAUUACUGGGCGUAAAGCGCGCGUAGGCGGAUUAGAAAGUUGGGGGUGAAAUCCCGGGGCUCAACCCCGGAACUGCCUCCAAAACUGCUAGUCUAGAGUUCGAGAGAGGUGAGUGGAAUUCCGAGUGUAGAGGUGAAAUUCGUAGAUAUUCGGAGGAACACCAGUGGCGAAGGCGGCUCACUGGCUCGAUACUGACGCUGAGGUGCGAAAGUGUGGGGAGCAAACAGGAUUAGAUACCCUGGUAGUCCACACCGUAAACGAUGAAUGCCAGUCGUCGGGUAGUAUACUAUUCGGUGACACACCUAACGGAUUAAGCAUUCCGCCUGGGGAGUACGGUCGCAAGAUUAAAACUCAAAGGAAUUGACGG
Molecule: ribosomal RNA, 859 nt
Filed under: uncultured marine bacterium
Lineage: Bacteria
Description: bacterial SSU rRNA
Rfam family: Bacterial small subunit ribosomal RNA
Source: RNAcentral